AUUAUUUUUUAAUUUUAUUUUUUGGUAUUGCAUAUCAAUAGAAGUUUUUAUCAUAAUUUAUGAAUAAUAGAAAUAAAGUGUCAAGGUUUUAUUAUUUUUUAUUUUUACGAAAUUAAUUAUAAUUAUGACUUUGUAUUGAUAUAACGUACUUUUAUUUCUGUUUUUUUUUAUAUUUAUAGUUAAGUUAUAUUUCCAUUUUAUAUAGUUUUAAUAUAAUUUUUUUUUAAAUGUUGUUUAUUUUGUUUAAAUAUUUAUUUUUUUUUUUUUUUUUUUUUUUUGGUUAAUUUUUUAAUUAAUUUAUUCUUUUUAUUUUAGUAAUUUUUUUUUUGUUUUGUAUUAUUUUUGUUUUUUAAUUUUAUUUUUGAACUAGAUUUGUUGUUAAAUGUUUAUUAAAAACUUAGGUUUUUUUUUAAAGUUGUCUUCUGCUCUAUGAUUUUUUUAAAUGGCAGCCUUAGCGUGAUGGCAUCAAAGUAGCGUAAGUGAUUUGUUUUUUUAUUGUUUUCAAGUAUGAAUGGAGUUUUUAGCAAUUUUUUUGUUUAUAUUUUAUUUGAAUUAUUUUUUUUAUUAAAAAUUAUUGAUUGUAAUAUUACAAAGAUAAGUCUUCGGAAAUUUUGUUUUAGUAUUUGAUUUUUUUUUUGUUUUUUACUAAUAUUUUCUUGGGGAUGGAAUUUAAUAAAUUUUUUUUACUAUUUUUAUUUUUAAAAAUUACUCCGGAGUUAACAGGGUUGUGGACAUGUAAAUAGUUUUUUUAUAUUAGUGUGCUGCGCUACAUCGAUGUUGUAUAUUUUUUAUGAAAAGAGAGAGAAUUUUUUUUUUUUGAGACUGUUCUUCUUGUAUAAAAAAUGAACUUGAUAUUAGUUUAGUUCGUCGUGAGACAGAGCGGUUUAUCUUGUAUAUUUAUUUGUUUUUAUCGGGAUAAGUACGAAAGGAAAAUUAUGAAGGUUAAUAUUUAUGAUCUUUUUAUUUUUAUGGAAUUUAUUCUUUUUUUAAAUCUUAUUAUUGUUUUUUUUUUUUCUUUUUUAGUUCCUUUUUUU
This 1034-nucleotide ribosomal RNA is filed under the name Brugia malayi. Its description in RNAcentral is "large subunit ribosomal RNA". The record is from RNAcentral. Lineage: Eukaryota; Metazoa; Nematoda; Chromadorea; Rhabditida; Onchocercidae.